GAUCAUGGCUCAGAUUGAACGCUGGCGGCAUGCUUUACACAUGCAAGUCGAACGGCAGCACAGGGAGCUUGCUCCCGGGUGGCGAGUUGGCGCACGGGUGAGUAAUACGAUCGGAACGUGUCCUGUUGUGGGGGAUAACUGGCUCGAAAGGGUGGCUAAUACCGCAUGAGACCUGAGGGUGAAAGCGGGGGAUCGCAAGACCUCGCGCAAGUUAGGAGCGGCCGAUGCCCGGAUUAG
Molecule: ribosomal RNA, 237 nt
Filed under: uncultured bacterium
Lineage: Bacteria
Description: partial 16S ribosomal RNA
Rfam family: Bacterial small subunit ribosomal RNA
Source: RNAcentral